UACGGAGGGUGCGAGCGUUGUCCGGAAUCACUGGGCGUAAAGGGCGCGUAGGCGGCGCGGAUAGUCGGCGGUGAAAGCCCGGAGCUCAACUCCGGGUCGGCCGUCGAUACUUCCGGGCUUGAGCACUGUAGAGGCAGAUGGAAUUCCGGGUGUAGCGGUGGAAUGCGUAGAGAUCCGGAAGAACACCGGUGGCGAAGGCGGUCUGCUGGGCAGUUGCUGACGCUGAUGCGCGACAGCGUGGGGAGC
RNAcentral lists this ribosomal RNA (246 nucleotides) under uncultured bacterium. Its description in RNAcentral is "partial 16S ribosomal RNA". It matches the Rfam family "Bacterial small subunit ribosomal RNA", at positions 524 to 769 of the family's 1533-position model. The record is from RNAcentral.